AGGGAUGGGCGAUAUUAUAUCGUUUGCGAUAUACCGGUAGAAAUUCCCCACACGAUAGGAAUUAGUCUUCCCGCGAUAUAAACGAUAAAUUCUAGUUGAUGACGUCAUCCCCUCUCUUUGUAGAUAUCUUUGUGAGACCCAUUCACAGCUCACAUGUGAAGUGAAAACGGGUAUAGCGGAGGGCGGACGUGAAGCUGAGAAAGAGUUUGCACUAAAGCUCUAAAUCUCGUUUAGGUUGGCACUGUAGAUGCGUCCGAGUUAAUGUUUAGUUUCACUUUCGUUUUAUUUAAUUCGUUUGUUAAGUAUUCGUUGAUAGUCAUAAUGCGUUACACCACAACAUUUAGUUUGGCUAAAAGUAUUUAUUUAAACAUUCGUUAGAUGUUAUGCGCGCGUGCGCAAAUAGUUUAGUAUGAUUUCUUGCCUGUUAUAUACAGGAUGAACGGAGCGUCCCGUGCGCAGCUCGCGCCCACAUGUGCUUUCAUAGCGACACAGCGCGCACAGCACUGCUGCCUGUUUACAUACAGUACACAUGCGAGUUUGUAUUACGUUAUUUUAAAUACGUUUAUGAGCGUAUAAAAGCAUGGAUUAUUUAAUUAGAUUUCUUUUACCCGCAUUUUUCUGUUCUCUUUCUGUAGCGCGAGUCAUAGACAGAUUCAGUGUAUGUUGCUGUGAGAAGAGAAGGUUCACACAGUUCAAGAGAGAGUGAUUGACAGCGUGAUGCGAUCGAUUGUUUCCACCCAACAAUAGAAUAUAUACAGUUUUAGGUAUGACAUGAUGUGUUUAUUGAGCUUUAGUUCAUUUAACUUUUCUUUACUACAACCUUUUGAAGUCGAAUCUCACUAUUACAUUUUAUAUUUACAAAAACACUGUAGGUAUAUUUUAGGAGCUGUUUGAUUUGGGGUAAGUUUUACUUUUUGAUAAUAUUUGUUUUUCUGAGGGUCUAGACUACAUGCAGCUACUAUCACUUGACGCAAAAAAACAGCGGUGGAUGACAUUAUGGAUAUAUCGUCAUUUUUAUCGUUAUCGCAAGAAAUACCAGGAAUUAUCGUGAUAAAGUUUUAGGGCCAUAUCGCCCAUCCCUAAUCUAAAGGGCAAUCUUUGGUCUUAUAAAUCUAUCAUUUGCCCCUGGAGAAAUCGUUUUGACUGAGGGCAAAAUUAAGUUACAUAACUUUAAUCUGUUCUUUAACUUUAGUCUGAAGGAGCGGAUGGAGAAAUAGUCCCAAUAUACCACAAUUGAAAUAAACCUUCUUCUGAACAUAUAUAUAUUUAGAUGAAUAUUUAGGAGAACACAUAUGCGUGUGUCGGAAGGAUCACUGCUCACUCGGGAUCAAUCCGCACAUAACUGCCGGAGUCACUUUCCGCCUGUUUCACACAAGUCGGGCAGCCGUUUUCUCAAGUUCACGUCAGGUCUAUGCAUAAUUUAAACGAAUCACUGGAGGAAUCUGCACUCAACUUUCCACAAAGCCCGUGCUAAAAUCUGAUCUGUAUCCAUCCAGAAGAGACCACAGAUAUAGACAUGCAUCGAUCGAGGGCAGCAAGAGAUUUUCUCCAUAGGAAUUCACUAUAAUAAACUCAAAAUACCUAUGUUUUGCGUGUUUUUGCUG
Molecule: long non-coding RNA, 1604 nt
Organism: Triplophysa rosa
Lineage: Eukaryota; Metazoa; Chordata; Actinopteri; Cypriniformes; Nemacheilidae
Exons: 3
Source: RefSeq, a predicted model, not a curated record